UGGGGAAUAUUGCACAAUGGGCGCAAGCCUGAUGCAGCCAUGCCGCGUGUAUGAAGAAGGCCUUCGGGUUGUAAAGUACUUUCAGCGGGGGGGAAGGCGAUAAGGUUAAUAACCUUGUCGAUUGACGUUACCCGCAGAAGAAGCACCGGCUAACUCCGUGCCAGCAGCCGCGGUAAUACGGAGGGUGCAAGCGUUAAUCGGAAUUACUGGGCGUAAAGCGCACGCAGGCGGUCUGUCAAGUCGGAUGUGAAAUCCCCGGGCUCAACCUGGGAACUGCAUUCGAAACUGGCAGGCUAGAGUCUUGUAGAGGGGGGUAGAAUUCCAGGUGUAGCGGUGAAAUGCGUAGAGAUCUGGAGGAAUACCGGUGGCGAAGGCGGCCCCCUGGACAAAGACUGACGCUCAGGUGCGAAAGCGUGGGGAGCAAACA
RNAcentral lists this ribosomal RNA (427 nucleotides) under uncultured bacterium. Its description in RNAcentral is "partial 16S ribosomal RNA". It matches the Rfam family "Bacterial small subunit ribosomal RNA", at positions 355 to 774 of the family's 1533-position model. The record is from RNAcentral.